This 492-nucleotide ribosomal RNA is filed under the name uncultured bacterium. Its description in RNAcentral is "partial 16S ribosomal RNA". It matches the Rfam family "Bacterial small subunit ribosomal RNA", at positions 29 to 507 of the family's 1533-position model. The record is from RNAcentral.
AGUGAACGCUGGCGGUAGGCCUAACACAUGCAAGUCGAACGGCAGCACAGUAAGAGCUUGCUCUUACGGGUGGCGAGUGGCGGACGGGUGAGGAAUACAUCGGAAUCUACUUUUUCGUGGGGGAUAACGUAGGGAAACUUACGCUAAUACCGCAUACGACCUACGGGUGAAAGCAGGGGAUCUUCGGACCUUGCGCGAUUGAAUGAGCCGAUGUCGGAUUAGCUAGUUGGCGGGGUAAAGGCCCACCAAGGCGACGAUCCGUAGCUGGUCUGAGAGGAUGAUCAGCCACACUGGAACUGAGACACGGUCCAGACUCCUACGGGAGGCAGCAGUGGGGAAUAUUGGACAAUGGGCGCAAGCCCGAUCCAGCCAUACCGCGUGGGUAAAGAAGGCCUUCGGGUUGUAAAGCCCUUUUGUUGGGAAAGAAAAGCAGCAGGUUAAUACCCCGCUGUUCUGACGGUACCCAAAGAAUAAGCACCGGCUAACUUCGUG